UACCCGCUGAACUUAAGCAUAUCAAUAAGCGGAGGAAAAGAAACUAACAAGGAUUCCCCUAGUAACUGCGAGUGAAGCGGGAAAAGCUCAAAUUUGAAAUCUGGCUGUCUUUGGCAGUCCGAGUUGUAAUUUCGAGAAGUGUUACCCGUGCUGGACCGUACAUAAGUCUUCUGGAAAGGAGCAUCACAGAGGGUGAAAAUCCCGUCUAUGGUACGGACUCCCAGUGCAUUGUGGUAUGCUCUCAACGAGUCGAGUUGUUUGGGAAUGCAGCUCAAAAUGGGUGGUAAAUUCCAUCUAAAGCUAAAUAUUGGUGUGAGACCGAUAGCGAACAAGUACCGUGAGGGAAAGAUGAAAAGAACUUUGGAAAGAGAGUUAAACAGUACGUGAAAUUGUCAAUAGGGAAACGCUUGAAGUCAGUCGCGUUGCUCUGGGAUCAGCCUUCCUUUUGGUUGGUGUACUUCCUGAGUGACGGGUCAGCAUCAGUUUUGACUGCUGGAAAAAGGCUUAGGGAAUGUGGCUCUUUCGGGAGUGUUAUAGCCCUUUGUCAUAUACAGUGGUUGGGACUGAGGAACUCAGCACGCCGCAAGGCAGGUCUUCGGACACUUUCGUGCUUAGGAUGNUGGCAUAAUGGCUUUAAGCGACCCGUCUUGAAACACGGACCAAGGAGUSUAACAUGCAUGCGAGUCUUUGGGUGUCAAACCCAUGGGCGUAAUGAAAGUGAAAGUUGAGAACUCUGUCGUGGAGUGCAUCGACGCCCAGCCCAGAGCUUUUGUGACGGUGCUGCGGUUGAGCACGUAUGUUGGGACCCGAAAGAUGGUGAACUAUGCCUGAAUAGGGCGAAGCCAGAGGAAACUCUGGUGGAGGCUCGUAGCGAUUCUGACGUGCAAAUCGAUCGUCAAAUUUGGGUAUAGGGGCGAAAGACUAAUCGAACCAUCUAAUAUCUGGUUCCUGCCNAAGUUUCCCUCAAGAA
Molecule: ribosomal RNA, 970 nt
Filed under: Lachnella villosa
Lineage: Eukaryota; Fungi; Basidiomycota; Agaricomycetes; Agaricales; Niaceae
Description: LSU rRNA
Rfam family: Eukaryotic large subunit ribosomal RNA
Source: RNAcentral